UUGUCCGAAUGAACAGACGGUUAGAAGCAGUGCAAAACCCAUAUGAUUGCAGACAUCCACGGCGUAGAUAAUUAUCACACCAAUAGAUGGUCCACGCGGGGCACCAGCUAAUGCAUUUAAGGGGAGCUGAUCUCUGUGAAGAAGCCAGCAAAAGAAACCCCCACAUCCAAUCCAUUAUCAACAAAAGCUAAUAAGGUUGAGAAUUUAAUGACACUCAAACAGGCAUGCUCCUCGGAAUACCAAGGAGCGCAAGGUGCGUUCAAAGAUUCGAUGAUUCACUGAAUUCUGCAAUUCACAUUACUUAUCGCAUUUCGCUGCGUUCUUCAUCGAUGCGAGAGCCAAGAGAUCCGUUGCUGAAAGUUGUAUAAGGUUUAUAGGCACAAGGCCCAAUGAUACAUUCUGUUACAUUCUAUAGGGGUAUAUGAAAAACAUAGGCCUGGACAUGCAAAGAAAGCUGGCUCACAGAGCGCAGCAAUCUUCCCGACCGAGUUGCCUCUGAAAGUCUAUCCAGGUCUACAAGAGGUGCACAGGUGGAGAGAUGAGGAUGGUGGGUGUGCACAUGCCCCCGAGAGGGCCAGCAACAACCACACCAAGUUCAUUCAAUAAUGAUCCUUCC
Molecule: unclassified non-coding RNA, 616 nt
Filed under: uncultured fungus
Lineage: Eukaryota; Fungi
Description: sequence contains ITS1, 5.8S rRNA gene, ITS2 and 28S rRNA gene
Source: RNAcentral